RNAcentral lists this unclassified non-coding RNA (375 nucleotides) under uncultured fungus. Its description in RNAcentral is "partial contains small subunit ribosomal RNA, internal transcribed spacer 1, and 5.8S ribosomal RNA". The stretch from base 1 to 73 matches the Rfam family "Eukaryotic small subunit ribosomal RNA", at positions 1759 to 1831 of the family's 1831-position model. The record is from RNAcentral. Lineage: Eukaryota; Fungi.
UCAAACUUGGUCAUUUAGAGGAAGUAAAAGUCGUAACAAGGUUUCCGUAGGUGAACCUGCGGAAGGAUCAUUAACGAAUAUCUAUGGCGUUGGUUGUAGCUGGCUCUUAGGAGCAUUUUGUGCACGCCCGUCAUUCAUAUCAUCUUUCCACCUGUGAACUAUGUGUAGGCCUGGAUACCCCUCGCUUUGGCAACAAGGCGGAUACAAGGAUUGCUGCGUCGCAAGGCCGGCUCUCUUUGAAUUUCCAGGUUCUAUGUCUUUUACACACCCCAUUUGAAUGAUGUAGAAUGUAGUCAAUGGGCUAUCAUGCCUAUAAAACACUAUACAACUUUCAGCAACGGAUCUCUUGGCUCUCGCAUCGAUGAAGAACGCAGC